Molecule: ribosomal RNA, 96 nt
Filed under: Maurolicus weitzmani (Atlantic pearlside)
Lineage: Eukaryota; Metazoa; Chordata; Actinopteri; Stomiiformes; Sternoptychidae
Description: partial 5.8S ribosomal RNA
Rfam family: 5.8S ribosomal RNA
About the family: 5.8S ribosomal RNA (5.8S rRNA) is a component of the large subunit of the eukaryotic ribosome. It is transcribed by RNA polymerase I as part of the 45S precursor that also contains 18S and 28S rRNA. Functionally, it is thought that 5.8S rRNA may be involved in ribosome translocation.
Source: RNAcentral
UAAUGUGAAUUGCAGGACACAUUGAUCAUCGACACUUCGAACGCACCUUGCGGCCCCGGGUUCCUCCCUGGGCUUCGCCUGUCUGAGUGUCGCCUU